RNAcentral lists this ribosomal RNA (468 nucleotides) under uncultured bacterium. RNAcentral's name for it is "partial 16S ribosomal RNA". It matches the Rfam family "Bacterial small subunit ribosomal RNA", at positions 28 to 507 of the family's 1533-position model. The record is from RNAcentral.
GACGAACGCUGGCGGCGUGCUUAACACAUGCAAGUCGAACGGAAAGGCCCUGCUUUUGUGGGGUUCUCGAGUGGCGAACGGGUGAGUAACACGUGAGUAACCUGCCCUUGACUUUGGGAUAACUUCAGGAAACUGGGGCUAAUACCGGAUAGGAGCUCCUGCUGCAUGGUGGGGGUUGGAAAGUUUCGGCGGUUGGGGAUGGACUCGCGGCUUAUCAGCUUGUUGGUGGGGUAGUGGCUUACCAAGUCUUUGACGGGUAGCCGGCCUGAGAGGGUGACCGGCCACAUUGGGACUGAGAUACGGCCCAGACGGCUACGGGAGGCAGAAGUGGGGAAUAUUGCACAAUGGGCGGAAGCCUGAUGCAGAAACGCCGCGUGCGGGAUGACGGCCUUCGGGUUGUAAACCGCUUUCGCCUGUGACGAAGCGUGAGUGACGGUAAUGGGUAAAGAAGCACCGGCUAACUACGUG